UUUAAUGAGAGUUUGAUCCUGGCUCAGGACGAACGCUGGCGGCGUGCCUAAUACAUGCAAGUAGAACGCUGAGGUUUGGUGUUUACACUAGACUGAUGAGUUGCGAACGGGUGAGUAACGCGUAGGUAACCUGCCUCAUAGCGGGGGAUAACUAUUGGAAACGAUAGCUAAUACCGCAUAAGAGUAAUUAACACAUGUUAGUUAUUUAAAAGGAGCAAUUGCUUCACUGUGAGAUGGACCUGCGUUGUAUUAGCUAGUUGGUGAGGUAAAGGCUCACCAAGGCGACGAUACAUAGCCGACCUGAGAGGGUGAUCGGCCACACUGGGACUGAGACACGGCCCAGACUCCUACGGGAGGCAGCAGUAGGGAAUCUUCGGCAAUGGACGGAAGUCUGACCGAGCAACGCCGCGUGAGUGAAGAAGGUUUUCGGAUCGUAAAGCUCUGUUGUUAGAGAAGAACGUUGGUAGGAGUGGAAAAUCUACCAAGUGACGGUAACUAACCAGAAAGGGACGGCUAACUACGUGCCAGCAGCCGCGGUAAUACGUAGGUC
RNAcentral lists this ribosomal RNA (550 nucleotides) under Streptococcus agalactiae. Its description in RNAcentral is "bacterial SSU rRNA". It matches the Rfam family "Bacterial small subunit ribosomal RNA", at positions 1 to 533 of the family's 1533-position model. The record is from RNAcentral. Lineage: Bacteria; Bacillati; Bacillota; Bacilli; Lactobacillales; Streptococcaceae.